UCCCCUGUUUACAAAAACAUAGUUUAAGGAAAUAAUCUUAAAUGAAUUCUGCCCAGUGAUUUUUUUUUAAAUGGCCGCAGUACCUUGACUGUGCUAAGGUAGCAUAAUCAAUUGGCUUCUAAUUAAAGUCUGGAAUGAAAGGAAAUAUGAAGUAAUUCUAUCUUAAAGGAUUUUUUUUGAAUUUAUUUAAAUGAUGAAAAUAUCAUUUUAUAGAAAAAAGACGAGAAGACCCUUAGAGUUUUGAUAUUUAUAUAUUUUUGUUGGGGCGACAGGUAAACAUAUAACUUUACGAAUUAUCAUUGAUCGAUUUUUUAUAAGAAUAAUAAAACUACCUUAGGGAUAACAGCAUUAUAUUUUUUUUUAUGAUUGUGACCUCGAUGUUGGACUAGGAACUUUAUGGCUAGCCGUCAAAAAAGAUUUGUUCUUUCGAUCAUU
This 435-nucleotide ribosomal RNA is filed under the name Biomphalaria straminea. RNAcentral describes it as "partial 16S ribosomal RNA". It matches the Rfam family "Bacterial large subunit ribosomal RNA", at positions 1796 to 2593 of the family's 2925-position model. The record is from RNAcentral. Lineage: Eukaryota; Metazoa; Mollusca; Gastropoda; Planorbidae.